AUGUCACCUCUGGCUCCACUUGAAAAUGGCGCCGAAAUCGAAGAACUUCUUAAAUUUCAUUGUAAGCUUUUUGCAAAGGUUUCUGGGAUUUUCCUGCGAAGCUGCUUCGCUGCCGUCAGAGAGCUAGCGAACGGGCCAGCGAAGUUGCAGGGCGCGAGGUGGCGGGCACCGCGCAACCAGGACGAGGAGCCGGCAGCCGGGGUCGCGGGCAAGGAGGGCGCGCUCUCGCUCUGGCAGUGGCCGAAACUCGCAGAGCAGCGUGGCGGAAGCAGAGCAGGCGGAGCGGUUGGAGCGGACGGAGCGGAGCCGAGCGAGGGGCUGGAGCUGCGCGCACCCAGGGAAGCGCGCCGGGCAGCCAGCAGCCAGCCUCCUGGAGUGGCCCUAGAAAAAGCCGGCUGGGGGGGCGUGGCCACGCCGUGCUCACGCUCCCCGCCCCCCUGCUCCCCUCCGCUCCUCUGGGGCCCGGGGGCGGAAGGGGGGAGGGGAAGAGAGGGAGCAGUUGGGAAGCAGGGGUGUGCGGGCGCUGGACGCCAAGGCGUUGGCUCUUGGCCAGGGAGGGUCGAGAAGGGCACGAGGGCGCCCAGAAUAGCCUAUACAGAGCUGAAUAGCGGCAGCGGGGCUGGGGUGGGGUGGGGUGUCAGGGAGAAAAAGGGGGACGUUGGAAAAUGCCAAUGCCAAGGGCACAAGGUAGCGCAGCGUACACCUAGGGACCAGUUCGAUGGACGCGAAUCGCGCUCACCGGCCCCUCCUAGAGUUCUUUGGGCUGCCGGGUGGGCGCAAAGUGGUAGAGCGAAGCCUCUGGCACUGGGCUUCGCAGCGGUGCCUGGAGAAGUUUGGGGGGCUCACACCGCGUGACUGUAGCUCUCACCACGCCUUAGACUCCCCUGCGCUGCUAAGCUCUCCGACACACAAGGCCAUGGUCAAAGCCAUUCCCAUAUGCGCUGGCCCUCCUCCUUGGGGGUGCAUAGCACGGAGGGAAGGCACUAUUGUUUACACGUGUGCACGCAGUUCAAGAAGGGAAACUGAGUAAGCUAUUAGUGAUGAUGUUAUUUCGUAAGUGUGAAAAUGCUAUUGAAGGCAAAUAAGAGGAUAUUCUUAUUCCUAGAAGAUGCACGCUGAAGGGAAGAGGGGUGAAAUGUCACGUUGUCUGCAUUUUUCAAAUGAUGCAGCUAGCUUUCGCGCGCGCGCGCACACACACCCACCCACCAGGGAAGGGAGCCCGGGAGGGGGGGAGGAGAAAGUAAUGUGUGUUAACAGUUGUUGCAUGCGUGUGUGUGUGUGUGUGUGUGUGUGUGGACAAACGCUUGUACUGUUCUUUCAACUUCGCUGGAUAUUUGCAAAAUGUCAUAAUAAAAAGAUUGGAGGCACUUUUGAAAUAGGGCCU
RNAcentral lists this long non-coding RNA (1384 nucleotides) under Oryctolagus cuniculus (rabbit). Its description in RNAcentral is "lncRNA (ENSOCUG00000034810.1)". The record is from RNAcentral. Lineage: Eukaryota; Metazoa; Chordata; Mammalia; Lagomorpha; Leporidae.